GACGAACGCUGGCGGCGUGCUUAACACAUGCAAGUCGAACGGAAAGGCCCUGCGGUUUCCUCGAUUUGCGAAGGGGUGAGUAACACAGUGAUGAGCGGCGCUUCACUUUUGGAUAAGCGUGGGAAACUGGGUCUAGUACCCAAUAGGAGCACGCGAUUCAUGGUGUUUGGUGUAAAGCUUGUGCGGUGUGGUAUGGGCCCGCGGCCUAGCUGCUUGGUGGUGGGGUAAUGGCGUUGCCAGGCGACGACGGGUAGCCGGCCUGAGAGGGUGACCGGCCACACUGGGACUGAGAUACGGCCCAGAGUGCUACGGGAGGCAGCAGUGGGGAAUAUUGCACAAUGGGCGCAAGCCUGAUGCAGCGACGCCGCGUGAGGGAUGACGGCCUUCGGGUUGUAAACCUCUUUCAAUAGGGACGAAGCGCAAGUGACGGUAACUAUAGAAGAAGCACCGGCCAACUACGUG
This 462-nucleotide ribosomal RNA is filed under the name uncultured bacterium. Its description in RNAcentral is "partial 16S ribosomal RNA". It matches the Rfam family "Bacterial small subunit ribosomal RNA", at positions 28 to 507 of the family's 1533-position model. The record is from RNAcentral.